CUUGGUCAUUUAGAGGAAGUAAAAGUCGUAACAAGGUUUCCGUAGGUAGAGUUUUGCCUACUACAGC
This 67-nucleotide ribosomal RNA is filed under the name Lophodermium conigenum. Its description in RNAcentral is "partial 18S ribosomal RNA". Lineage: Eukaryota; Fungi; Ascomycota; Leotiomycetes; Rhytismatales; Rhytismataceae. The record is from RNAcentral.